UGGGGAAUUUUCCGCAAUGGGCGAAAGCCUGACGGAGCAAUACCGCGUGAGGGAUGACGGCCUAUGGGUUGUAAACCUCUUUUUUCAGGGAGGAAUAAAUGACGUGUACCUGAAGAAUAAGCAUCGGCUAACUCCGUGCCAGCAGCCGCGGUAAGACGGAGGAUGCAAGUGUUAUCCGGAAUCACUGGGCGUAAAGCGUCUGUAGGUGGUUUAAUAAGUCAACUGUUAAAUCUUAAGGCUCAACCUUGAAAUCGCAGUCGAAACUAUUAGACUAGAGUAUAGUAGGGGUAAAGGGAAUUUCCAGUGGAGCGGUGAAAUGCGUAGAUAUUGGAAAGAACACCGAUGGCGAAGGCACUUUACUGGGCUAUUACUAACACUCAGAGACGAAAGCUAGGGUAGCAAAUGGGAUUAGAUACCCCAGUAGUC
RNAcentral lists this ribosomal RNA (426 nucleotides) under uncultured phototrophic eukaryote. RNAcentral describes it as "bacterial SSU rRNA". It matches the Rfam family "Bacterial small subunit ribosomal RNA", at positions 355 to 795 of the family's 1533-position model. The record is from RNAcentral.